RNAcentral lists this ribosomal RNA (425 nucleotides) under uncultured bacterium. Its description in RNAcentral is "partial 16S ribosomal RNA". It matches the Rfam family "Bacterial small subunit ribosomal RNA", at positions 359 to 776 of the family's 1533-position model. The record is from RNAcentral.
GAAUUUUGGACAAUGGGCGAAAGCCUGCUCCAGCAAUGCCGCGUGCAGGAAGAAGGCCUUCGGGUUGUAAAGCCCUUUUGUUGGGAAAGAAAAGCAGUCGGCUAAUACCCGGUUGUUCUGACGGUACCCAAAGAAUAAGCCCCGGCAUACUUCUUCCCAGCAUCCGCGGUAAAACGAAGGGUGCAAGCGUUACUCGGAAUUACUGGGCGUAAAGCGUGCGUAGGUGGUUGUUUAAGUCUGUUGUGAAAGGCCUGGGCUCAACCUGGGAAUUGCAGUGGAGACUGGGCGACUAGAGCGUGGUAGAGGGUAGUGGAAUUCCCGGUGUAGCAGUGAAAUGCGUAGAGAUCGGGAGGAACAUCCAUGGCGAAGGCAGCUACCUGGACCAACACGGACACUGAGGCACGAAAGCGUGGGGAGCAAACAGG